RNAcentral lists this small RNA (568 nucleotides) under Pan troglodytes (chimpanzee). RNAcentral describes it as "processed transcript". The record is from RNAcentral. Lineage: Eukaryota; Metazoa; Chordata; Mammalia; Primates; Hominidae.
AUCUUUCUCUUGCCGCGUGCUGGUGUUGGAGGACCCUCCCUGCUUCAGAUUUACCAACAGCAUGAAUCAAGAAAAGUUAGCCAAACUUCAGGCUCAGGUCCGGAUAGGGGGCAAGGGUACAGCUCGCAGAAAGAAGAAGGUAGUACAUAGAACAGCCACAGCUGAUGACAAAAAGCUUCAGAGUUCUCUAAAAAAACUGGCUGUGAAUAAUAUAGCUGGUAUUGAAGAGAAACAACAGAUUUUUUCCAGUUUAUUUGGUAAGAAGUGUAACCAAAAAGCACUUUCCGAUUCAGAUGCCCUAAUUGUUCCAAGUUGCUUCAUAGAGUUUUAUAAUAAUAUUCAGAGGACAGCUUCUGUCUUAAUUAGGGUAUAAUUCAGCCUCCAUGAAACCCUUCCUGUCUUUCCAGGUGAACAUGAUUAAAGAUGAUGGGACAGUUAUUCAUUUCAACAAUCCCAAAGUCCAAGCUUCCCUUUCUGCUAAUACCUUUGCAAUUACUGGUCAUGCAGAAGCCAAACCAAUCACAGAAAUGCUUCCUGGAAUAUUAAGUCAGCUUGGUGCUGACAGUUU